This 85-nucleotide transfer RNA is filed under the name Felis catus (domestic cat). It matches the Rfam family "tRNA". From Rfam's summary of the family: Transfer RNA (tRNA) molecules are approximately 80 nucleotides in length. Their secondary structure includes four short double-helical elements and three loops (D, anti-codon, and T loops). Lineage: Eukaryota; Metazoa; Chordata; Mammalia; Carnivora; Felidae. The record is from Rfam by way of RNAcentral.
GCCUCGGGGGCUCAGUCAGUUAAGCGUCUGACUUCAGCUCAGGUCAUGAUCUCAUGGUUUGUGGGUUCAAGCCCCACCUCAGGCU